This 377-nucleotide ribosomal RNA is filed under the name uncultured delta proteobacterium. Its description in RNAcentral is "bacterial SSU rRNA". It matches the Rfam family "Bacterial small subunit ribosomal RNA", at positions 521 to 896 of the family's 1533-position model. The record is from RNAcentral. Lineage: Bacteria; Deltaproteobacteria.
UAAGACAGAGGGUGCAAACGUUGUUCGGAAUUACUGGGCGUAAAGCGCGUGUAGGCGGCUUAGCAAGUCGGAUGUGAAAGCCCACGGCUCAACCGUGGAAGUGCACUCGAAACUGCUUCGCUAGAGUCCUGGAGAGGAAGGUGGAAUGCUUGGUGUAGAGGUGAAAUUCGUAGAUAUCAAGCGGAACACCGGUGGCGAAGGCGGCCUUCUGGACAGUGACUGACGCUGAGACGCGAAAGCAUGGGGAGCAAACAGGAUUAGAUACCCUGGUAGUCCAUGCCGUAAACGAUGAGUGCUAGGUGUCAGGGGCUUUGACCCUUCUGGUGCCGCAGCUAACGCAAUAAGCACUCCGCCUGGGGAGUACGGCCGCAAGGCUA